GAUGAAGAACGUAGCGAAAUGCGAUAAGUAAUGUGAAUUGCAGAAUUCAGUGAAUCAUCGAAUCUUUGAACGCACCUUGCGCCCUUUGGCUAUUCCGAAGGGCAUGCCUGUUUGAGUAUCAUGAACACCUCAACUCUCAUGGCUUGCCAUGAUGAGCUUGGACUUUUGGGGGUCUUGCUGGCCUGUGGUCAGCUCCUCUCAAAUGAAUUAGCCUGCCAGUGUUUGGUGGCAUCACAGGUGUGAUAACUAUCUACGCUUGUGGUUUUCCACCAGGUAACCUUCAGUGAUGAAGGUUCGCUGGGGCUUAUAAACGUCUCUCCUCAGUGAGGACAGCUCUUUGAACGUUUGAUCUCAAAUCAGGUAGGACUACCCGCUGAACUUAAGCAUAUCAAUAAGCGGAGGA
Molecule: unclassified non-coding RNA, 403 nt
Filed under: soil metagenome
Description: partial contains 5.8S ribosomal RNA, internal transcribed spacer 2, and large subunit ribosomal RNA
Rfam family: 5.8S ribosomal RNA (bases 1-121)
Source: RNAcentral